This 477-nucleotide unclassified non-coding RNA is filed under the name Hevea brasiliensis (rubber tree). The record is from RNAcentral. Lineage: Eukaryota; Viridiplantae; Streptophyta; Magnoliopsida; Malpighiales; Euphorbiaceae.
UUCAGGGGGAAUCCCAGAUUCUUUAACUCAGCUUGACGGGCUGAAGCAUUUGAAUCUGUCUUUUAAUCAACUUCAUGGGAUGGUUCCAAAACGUGGAAUCUUUCUAAAUGCAAGUGCCGUUUCAUUGAUGGGAAACAAUGAUCUCUGUGGAGGUAUCACUGAGAUGAAGCUUCCUUCUUGCCCCAUCGCAAACUCCAAGAAGAACAACCUCUCCCUUGCACUGAAAGUGACAAUCCCAGUGGCUGCGACAGCCAUAUUUUCGGCUCUGUUGGUGUGUUCCUUAAUUUUCUGGCAUCGGAAAAGUAUUUUUAGAAAGAAGAAGAUUUCCAUGCCACCAUUUGAACACCAGUUUCUGAGAAUAUCCUAUGCAGAACUCUUCAAAGCCACUGAUGGAUUCUCUAUGUCCAAUAUAAUUGGUGUCGGAAGUUAUGGAUCUGUUUAUAAAGGAAUUCUUGAGCAAGUAGGUAUAGAAGUGGC